CCUACGGGUGGCAGCAGUGGGGAAUAUUGGGCAAUGGGCGCAAGCCUGACCCAGCAACGCCGCGUGAAGGAAGAAGGCUUUCGGGUUGUAAACUUCUUUUGUCAGGGAACAAAGACUGGGACGCGUCCCCGGAUGAGUGUACCUGAAGAAAAAGCAUCGGCUAACUCCGUGCCAGCAGCCGCGGUAAUAGGGAGGAUGCGAGCGUUAUCCGGUUUUUUUGGGUUUAAAGGGUGUGCAGGGGGUCUGUUAGGUUGGCGGUCAAAGCCGGGGGCUAAACCCCGGCCCGCCGUUGAAACUGGCAGUCUCGAGUUGGGGAGAGGUAUGCGGAAUGCGCGGUGUAGCGGUGAAAUGCAUAGAUAUCGCGAAGAACUCCGAUUGCGAAGGCAGCAUGCCGGCUCCACACUGACGCUGAGGCACGAAAGCGUGGGUAUCGAACAGGAUUAGAUACCCUAGUAGUC
Molecule: ribosomal RNA, 458 nt
Filed under: uncultured bacterium
Lineage: Bacteria
Description: partial 16S ribosomal RNA
Rfam family: Bacterial small subunit ribosomal RNA
Source: RNAcentral